GCAGCUUCUUCAUCACUACCUGCUCCGUUUGACUCAAAAAUGUAACGACCGGGUUCACUGUAAUUAGACAUAAAAUGUACAUAGUUUAUUUUUCAUGCAUUUAGGAUUUCAUGUUUUUUUUUUUUUUUUUUUUUUUUUUUUUUUUUUUUUUUUUACUCUUCGAGGAAAAGAAAUGAUCUUUCGAGGCAGCUUCUUCAUCACUACCUGCUCCGUUUGACUCAAAAAUGUAACGACCGGUUUCAAAAAGUCACGAUGUCUU
Molecule: long non-coding RNA, 259 nt
Organism: Ictalurus punctatus (channel catfish)
Lineage: Eukaryota; Metazoa; Chordata; Actinopteri; Siluriformes; Ictaluridae
Source: Ensembl